Molecule: ribosomal RNA, 524 nt
Filed under: uncultured bacterium
Lineage: Bacteria
Description: bacterial SSU rRNA
Rfam family: Bacterial small subunit ribosomal RNA
Source: RNAcentral
UGGGGAAUAUUGGACAAUGGACCGAGAGUCUGAUCCAGCAAUUCUGUGUGCACGAUGAAGUUUUUCGGAAUGUAAAGUGCUUUCAGUUGGGAAGAAAGAAAUGACGGUACCAACAGAAGAAGUGACGGCUAAAUACGUGCCAGCAGCCGCGGUAAUACGUAUGUCACGAGCGUUAUCCGGAUUUAUUGGGCGUAAAGCGCGUCUAGGUGGUUAUAUAAGUCUGAUGUGAAAAUGCAGGGCUCAACUCUGUAUUGUGUUGGAAACUGUAUAACUAGAGUACUGGAGAGGUAAGCGGAACUACAAGUGUAGAGGUGAAAUUCGUAGAUAUUUGUAGGAAUGCCGAUGGGGAAGCCAGCUUACUGGACAGAUACUGACGCUGAAGCGCGAAAGCGUGGGUAGCAAACAGGAUUAGAUACCCUGGUAGUCCACGCUGUAAACGAUGAUUACUAGGUGUUGGGGGUCGAACCUCAGCGCCCAAGCAAACGCGAUAAGUAAUCCGCCUGGGGAGUACGUACGCAAGUAUG